AUUAAUUAUUGGUGAUUUUGAAACCUGGGAUGACCUUGUUGUAAUAUUUUUGCUAUCAGUUGGUUCAUUCUUCAUUUUGUAAUUGGGUUACGAAUUGAGUUUGUUUGAAUUGUAUUGGUGAUCUUAGAGGUUUUAUUUUAUUAGAGAAUUUAGUGAUAAACCAGAAAAUUAGAAGAAUUUAUUCAAGGUGACGAUGAUAAUUGGUUUUCUUUAUUUUAGUUUAAGAGUUGGUCGAUCCCCUUUUUUGGUUAUUGUACUUUUCCAGGGUAUCAAAAAGUGUAUUAAUGUUAUUUAUUCACUUAGGGACUUAAGCGUGUUUCCUUGCAUUUGUCUUGUAAUUAUGCUGGUAUUUUUUUUUUCCCGUAAUGGUAAGUUAGUUAACUGGGUGUUAAGAAAUAAGAAGUAUAUUUAUGUUUUUUUUUCUAAUAUUUUUUUUUAGAAGCUCUACUUAUUCUUUUUCAUUUUGGAAAAAUCAACCAAUGAUCUUUAGAACUAACAUAGAUGGGUUUUCAUGGCUUCUUUCCAUAGGAAGCGCAAGUUUGUUUUCUGGUUGCAAGAUCUGUCAAUGGAAUAUUUGUAGAGAUGCAUGUGGGAUAGUUAAAAUGUUACAUGCCCCAUUUCCUAAUAGCUUUAUCAGUAUGUGCUGUUAAGGAUUUACGCAUACCUACUUGAAUUUUGAUCUAUUAAUGGAAUAUUUGUAGAGAUGCAUGUGGUACAAUUAAAAUGUUACAUGCCCCCAUUUCCUGAUAGCUUUAUCAGUAUGUCGGUGGUGCUGUUAAGGAUUUUGGAGGUUGUUCUGUACUUCUACACCCAACAUUUCCAAUCCCUUAAUUUCCACAAGGAUAUUGCCUUAUAAAUGUGUUUCUUUAUGGUUCGAGAUUGAGCAUCUCUUCAUAGUUGUUGCGUUUCUAAGAUUGAGGUUGUUUAGAUUUUGGUUGCAAAUGUUCUUAGAAUUUUAUUUAUUUUGUUCUUUUCCUUUAAUAUUUUCUUGAAAAAAAUAUUGCCAGCUGGGCUUUUUAAUAUUUCAGUUUAGUUAAUUAUUGAAAUUCAUAUUCCUGUCUUAAGAACCAAUUUCAAUGACUUUGUUUGAAUGUUCAAAUAUUUGUGUAGGGUGGUAUGCGAGUUUACAUUUGUGAGCAUGACACAUCACUGCCAAGUAUCCGUGUUCUCUAAACCUUUUGUAUAUAUUUCUCAACUUUUGAUGAGCUUACAAAGCAUUACUCUGUAUUCUGAUUGCUGCAUGUUUCUACUCUUUCUUCCUUUGUUUUAAAAGAACCCUAACGUGUGAUGUUGUCAGAUUCACAUUUUUACAUCAUUAAUUAGAUACAAAUCUAUUAUAGGUACAUAUAUGGAAAGGAUAAAUUUACCAUGUUAGAAUUCUCUUAUUUCAUAUUUUGGAGUCUAUUAUUCAUCAUUCUACUUUAAUUUGUGGAAUUUCUGAAGGAAAGGCUGUGGUGAAAAUUUACUGAUCGAUCAUUGUUAUAAGAUCAUUUUUCAUUCUAACACUUACUUGUUCCUCC
RNAcentral lists this long non-coding RNA (1520 nucleotides) under Citrus x clementina. RNAcentral's name for it is "Citrus clementina (C. clementina) long non-coding RNA (CCLE_LNC005183)". The record is from RNAcentral. Lineage: Eukaryota; Viridiplantae; Streptophyta; Magnoliopsida; Sapindales; Rutaceae.